CAGUUUGAUCCUGGCUCAGGACGAACGCUGGGGGCGGGCCUAAUACAUGCAAGUGGAACGCACGAGGUACACCGUAGUUUACUACACCGUACUUUGUGAGUCGCGAACGGGUGAGUAACGCGUAGGUAACCUACCUUUUAGCGGGGGAUAACUAUUGGAAACGAUAGCUAAUACCGCAUAAGAUAUCUUACUGCAUGGUAAGAUAUUAAAAGAUGCAAUUGCAUCACUAAGAGAUGGACCUGCGUUGUAUUAGCUAGUAGGUGAGGUAACGGCUCACCUAGGCAACGAUACAUAGCCGACCUGAGAGGGUGAUCGGCCACACUGGGACUGAGACACGGCCCAGACUCCUACGGGAGGCAGCAGUAGGGAAUCUUCGGCAAUGGGGGGAACCCUGACCGAGCAACGCCGCGUGAGUGAAGAAGGUUUUCGGAUCGUAAAGCUCUGUUGUAAGAGAAGAACGAGUGUGAGAGUGGAAAGUUCACACUGUGACGGUAACUUACCAGAAAGGGACGGCUAACUACGUGCCAGCAGCCGCGGUAAUACGUAGGUCCCGAGCGUUGUCCGGAUUUAUUG
Molecule: ribosomal RNA, 573 nt
Filed under: uncultured bacterium
Lineage: Bacteria
Description: bacterial SSU rRNA
Rfam family: Bacterial small subunit ribosomal RNA
Source: RNAcentral